Molecule: transfer RNA, 76 nt
Filed under: Pseudactinobacillus ducreyi
Lineage: Bacteria; Pseudomonadati; Pseudomonadota; Gammaproteobacteria; Pasteurellales; Pasteurellaceae
Description: [Haemophilus] ducreyi tRNA-Asp
Rfam family: tRNA
About the family: Transfer RNA (tRNA) molecules are approximately 80 nucleotides in length.
Source: RNAcentral
GGAGUGGUAGUUCAGCUGGUUAGAAUACCUGCCUGUCACGCAGGGGUCGCGGGUUCGAGUCCCGUCCGUUCCGCCA